RNAcentral lists this transfer RNA (64 nucleotides) under Ochthebius salinarius. RNAcentral's name for it is "tRNA-His". Lineage: Eukaryota; Metazoa; Arthropoda; Insecta; Coleoptera; Hydraenidae. The record is from RNAcentral.
AUUUAAGUAGUUUAUUUAAAAUAUUGAUUUGUGGUGUCAAUGAAAUAAUUAGUUAUCUUAAAUA